GUGAAUAAAACUUUGGAAUAUUGGAAUUUGGAAUAUAUCUUGUAGAGAAGCAGCAGCAGCUCCUCCAGCAGUGCUGUACUGCGCAUGCGCACUGUGUCCGCUGCCUGGGCAACUGGGCAUUAGUCGUGGGAGAAUUUAGGUCUCGGUGUGUCUCUCUGUCAUGGACGGCUCGACCCCUGAGUUUGACAUGUAUGGGGCGAUGGAUUGGAAGGACGGCGUGGGAACCCUCCCUGGCAGCCAGCUCAAGUUUCGUGUAAACGAAUUCGGGGUGCUGGAGGUCAUAACAGACGUGGGAGAAGAGGAAGGGGUCAAGAAGGCUCAUGCUACCACCACAUGGAGUGUCCCUACAGCACAGGAGGCUCUGUCGGUUGAGGUGCACUGUGGUCGUGUGAGUGUCUGCAGUAACAGGAAGGACUCUGCUACCCACUUCCUGCCUGAUGGACAUCACUGCACCAACGGCUGCCUCCACCCAGAGCAACAGGAAAAGAGUAAGUCUGUGAAAGAAGAUUCCAGGAUGAACGGUGAGGUCACUCGGGUCAGCAGGAGGAGACCACACCCAGCCAAGAGAGCGGAGGAAGAGCUAGACGAAAUGACGGAGGUGGUGGAGGAGGACAAUGAAGACAACGAAGAGAAAGAUGGCCGCCGGCUGGUUCGAGGAGGUCCCCGGGGUCGCAGGAAGCGCCGGGGAGACGCAGCUUUGCUCAGACAGCCGGUUUCGUACGGAGGGAGGAAGAAAUCAUGGUGCUGGGCUUCGUAUCUGGAGCAGGAGAAAGCCCUCGCCGCUCCCAGCAAACUGUUUAAAGAGCACCAGUCCUUCCCUCAGAGUAAGAGCGGGUUCAGAGUGGGUAUGAGGCUGGAGGGCAUCGACCCCCUACACCCCUCCAUGUACUGCGUUCUCUCCGUCGCCGAGGUAUCCGGGUACCGAAUGCGACUGCACUUCGAUGGUUACUCGGACUGCUAUGACUUCUGGGUGAACUGUGACUCUACUGAUACUCACCCUGUGGGCUGGUGUGAGAAAACCGGCCACAAGCUGCAUCCGCCUAAAGGGAUGAAGAGUGAGGCGUUCAGCUGGUGUUCGUAUCUAAAGACGAAUAAACUGCAGGCGGCACCCAAAUCUCUGUUCCACAACCACAACGCUACAGUCACACCUUUAGGCUUCAGGGUGGGGAUGAAGCUGGAGGCGGUGGAUAAGAAGAAGCCUUCACUGGUUCGCGUCUCCACCGUUAGGGACAUGGUGGAAAGCCGCCUGCUCGUGCACUUCGACAGCUGGGACGAGAGCUACGACUACUGGUGUGAUGUGAUGAGUCCGUAUAUCCAUCCAGUUGGCUGGUGUCGGGAGAACAGCAGAACCCUGACCACGCCUCCAGGUUACGCUGAUGCUGAGAACUUCUCCUGGGAGAGGUACCUGGAGGAGACGAGCUCAUUUCCCGCACCUGCCAGGUCCUUCAAAGCGAAGCCUCCUCACAGUUUCCAGGUGAACAUGAAGCUGGAGGCGGUGGACGUGAGGAACCCUGUGAUGGUGAGGGUGGCUACAGUGGUGGAUCGAGACGAGCACAGAGUGAAGAUCCAUUUCGAUGGUUGGACGGAAGAGUACGAUUACUGGCUGGACGCAGACAGCCCGGACAUCCAUCCCGCGGGGUGGUGCGCCAAAACCGGACACGCCCUACAGCCGCCAAUCAGUCUGGAGGACACGAGUGAAUCAGAGCAAGGCGGAUGUCCUACACCCGGCUGCAGAGGGAUUGGACACAUCAAAGGAGCCCGCUAUUCUGGACACCACAGUGCCAUGGGCUGUCCGUACUCCGAGAUCAACAUGAAGAAGGACUCGGUCUUGCCGGACCGGCUGAGUGGGGAGAUGCCGGGUUCUGGAGUGGGCCGACCACGUCGGGUGGAGCAGAGCCCUGAUAGGGCUGCACACAGUCUCGAAAGGAGUCAGGAGUCACACACUGAUCUGUCACCUCCGUUCCUCGCUUUCUCAGCAAACCUGUCCGUCACCUGGACAAGGCCGACACGGCAACCAUCGCCAUGGAAACGACGCAUCAGAAGCCGGUCGGUACGGAGUCCAAACGAAGGCUCCGCUAGUGUCCGAGCCUGGUGUGGUGUAAUGCUGGAUAUCUCCGCAGGCGACGAGCCGUGCCGCUCGGACGUAUCCGAUACCCUGGAAACAGAGAUCGGAUUAUAGUUCUGACGCCUCGGGCAUCUCCAGAGCUCUUUAUCACAGAUUGGUUUGUAAUUCCAGUUGGUGUCCAGUAGACCUCGCAGAACUCUGUGAAUCACAGCUCGGUUCGUAAUGCCUGCUGGUGUGUGUGACUCACAGCUUUCCCGAUAAGGCCUCGUGGUAUCUGGCUGGCGGUACGAUCGGGACGAUUCGCAGUCUGACGGUGGGGGAGGAAAAACAGACCCAGCAUGAUUUGUGCACUUACUCACGUUGAUUUCUCACGCAUUAUUCUCAGCUCGGGCAGCAGUGUUCGGUCCGGGGCCACUCUUUGAAAGUUUGAUUAAACAACACACUUAACGACACAAACAAUACGGCGUGCUGGAUCGAGCGCUGUUUUACUUUAUUUAGCCUUUUUACCUUUAGUUUUUUUUUUUAAACCGUCUCGUACUUUCAUGUUACGACGUUAUUGUAUGUUUGACAGCAAUUUAAAAAAAACCCCAAACGUUAUUUUCCCUUCUUGAUAUUUUUUGGGGUGUUCAAAGACGAGUGCUUGUGGUCUAGAAGCUGUUGAAAAACCCCGUCUCGGACACACCUGGACUCGGGAAAACUUCUGGUAGCUUCGGCGGCGUGAACUACACCUACAUUUGAAUGUGGAGUUGAGCAGCCGCGUAACCCGACUCUGAAUACGGGGAACUUUCCCCACGUAAAUAUUCACGUAGCUUUAGGAUGUUUAAGUUGCUGAGUCUGCGCCUGAGGUGUCCCUAAAGUCUGAAUACGGAGUUGUACUGUCUGUACAUUAUAUAUGGGGGAUAUAUAGAGUUUAUGUUUGAUUCCCAUUGUGUGCAUUACUCCACGCAGCUCCAGUACAACGCUAAAGAAGCAAAGCAAAAGCGUUCAGGACUGACGGAGUACAUUUGCGGUAAAAGCGGAAGGAGCGCUCAUUCAACCCAAAGCAGGAACUCUUCACAGAUACGAUCUCGUUUCGACUGUAGAUGAAACAUACUGUCCUGUGGUGGAUUAGCUCUCGGGGGGGGGGCGUUUGGUUCGUCUUUAUCCUUCGUUUUCGUUUGUUCCUCCUAAAACAGGCGUAAACGCUUCAAGAAUAUUUACUUUCAGAUGCGGAUCAGUGUCCGUCACGGUGCUGGUGUUUUAUUGCGUAGCGGAAUCGAUGGAACGUAUAAAUCCCACAUGGGAAUGGUUUCUGUAGAGAAAAGCCCAGGCUUUAUCAUUAAUCACAGCUGGAAAGAACAGAUGUGGAGCGUGCGACGUGGGCUGUCGGAGAGACGAGCGUGCCGCUCAGGCUGCGUGAUUGCUUAUUUUCUUUCUUAUUUAUAACUUUUUAUUAUUAUUAUUAUUAUUAUUAUUGUUAUUAAUAUUAUUUGUAUUUUCUACUUGACACUAAUGAGGUUUCACAGGAAAUCAGCAAUGGAUUUGAUAAUGAAUUGAAAUGAGCAGGUCCUAAAUCAUGUGUAAAUACUGCACACACACACAUCUAAGCAAACGUUUGUUGUAAUAAAGCUUCCUUUUAGUUUGUUGUUGUUGUUCAGAGCGUCCACGCGUACGGAGCUCGGAGUUUGGGUUGGGCGGCCGUGUAAGGUGAAAAGAGUGGAGGAGCCGCCACAGGAAGAGGAAGUGGAGAGCGAGGAGUCGUCUAUCGCGGAGUCAAAAG
RNA transcript from Ictalurus furcatus (blue catfish), 3824 nucleotides. It is a transcript of the gene named L3MBTL histone methyl-lysine binding protein 3, with no coding region annotated. The transcript has 20 exons. NCBI's taxonomy places the organism in Eukaryota, Metazoa, Chordata, Actinopteri, Siluriformes, Ictaluridae. The record is from RefSeq and is a predicted model, not a curated record.